RNAcentral lists this ribosomal RNA (497 nucleotides) under uncultured bacterium. Its description in RNAcentral is "partial 16S ribosomal RNA". It matches the Rfam family "Bacterial small subunit ribosomal RNA", at positions 28 to 507 of the family's 1533-position model. The record is from RNAcentral.
GGUGAACGCUGGCGGCGUGCCUAAUACAUGCAAGUCGAGCGAACGGACGAUAAGCUUGCUUCUCUGAUGUUAGCGGCGGACGGGUGAGUAACACGUGGAUAACCUACCUAUAAGACUGGGAUAACUUCGGGAAACCGUAGCUAAUACCGGAUAAUAUUUUGAACCGCAUGGUUCAAAAGUGAAAGACGGUCUUGCUGUCACUUAUAGAUGGAUCCGCGCUGCAUUAGCUAGUUGGUAAGGUAACGGCCUACCAAGGCAACGAUGCAUAGCCGACCUGAGAGGGUGAUCGGCCACACUGGAACUGAGACACGGUCCAGACUCCUACGGGAGGCAGCAGUAGGGAAUAUUCCGCAAUGGGCGAAAGCCUGACGGAGCAACUCCGCGUGAGUGAUGAAGGUCUUCGGAUCGUAAAACUCUGUUAUUAGGGAAGAAAAUAUGUGUAAGUAACUGCGCACAUCUUGACGGUACCUAAUCAGAAAGCAACGGCUAACUACGUG